This is a long non-coding RNA of Anopheles gambiae (African malaria mosquito), 4736 nucleotides long. RefSeq lists it as uncharacterized. The transcript has 2 exons. Lineage: Eukaryota; Metazoa; Arthropoda; Insecta; Diptera; Culicidae. The record is from RefSeq and is a predicted model, not a curated record.
UAUCGAACUGAGCGUAUGCGUGUGUAUAAAAAGUUGGUUGUUGCUCGCGCAGGUGUAAGCGCAUCAGUAGUAGUCGUCAUCACCGUACUAGGUAGCAUGGGAAGAGAGCUAAUCAAACUACUACUACAAGUAUGGAUGGUAUGUUAAUGGUUUAUGAUGUUUAAGUGUUCCAAUAGGCCAGUGUUUCAUUAGUGUUUCAAUGUGGUUGAUGGGUAGGGAAAGCUCAAAAGCUAAUACAUCUUGUAGGGAUGGAUUUAAAUUUCUUAGAAUUCUUAAUUUAUUGAUGUUUUUAUUGCAAAUGUUUAGGUCCCGUAAGCGAUACCCGUAGGAAAAUCACAUCAUGAAUAAUGCUAGACACUUGAAGUAAUCGUCCAAUUCAGAAACCUUCCAGUAAAAAUUUCUGAAGUGUUCUCGUCCUCUAGCAGAGCAUCACUUAAUUUGUAUUGAGGUGAUAAUUUCUUAUCUGUUUAUUUUUUUCCAAAUCCAUCUACAUUCUUUAUUAUCUCUUCAUGCACGCCAACGGGGAAUAAACACAUACAAUCGGGGAAAUACUAUAAAACUUAAAUUUUUCAACAACGGCAUUCCAAUAAAAGCUCUUGCAGAAAUAUUCACAUCUUCCAGUGCAAAGUAUGUUAACCAUAUGGUAAGGUUUAUUGUGGGGAAGAACUGCCCAUCCCGUCAUUGAUAAAUACUGUGCUGCUUUGUGCUCAUGUCGCGAUAGUGUCGUAAAAAGCAGGGUACUCAAUCGCUUCUGCAAUCGGGUUCGGCGAGGAUUUUAAUCCCAUAAAUCAAUCAAUUGUUUGUGGCCCAUCGUGCCCUCCAUGAAGACCCAAGAUACCAAUGAAGCAGCAGAUAGCAUUUGUAGAGGCAUGUCUAUAAUAACGGGGAAAGAUUGUAAAUUCGAAUGCUUUUCGGAGGUUUAUAAUGCCCGUAGUCGAUAAAAGUCAAUAAUCGGUCACCAUAGUGGCAUUGGGAGCUAAUAUCUGUGGGAUUGUGGGCCGUAUUGAUCUAUAUUAAGUUUAUGCCACCAUAAAGGGUUAGAUAGUGCCGGUGCAAUGUAGAAAGGAAUGAUUCCAUUGAUAGAUGAAGACAAUGUAACUCAUAAUUUGUUGGACAUUCGUCGGCAGAGCAAUGCAAAAUCAUGCAAAAUUCUUAUUUUAACUCAAUUCCUAGUUAAAAUAUUCACAACAAUGGAAUUAGAACACAAUAUAGAGCCUUCUUCUUUUUUCAAUCCUGCUCCAAAUACACACGCACUUAUCUUCACAUCUUUACGCACACAUCCCCAAGCAAGACGCUUCGUUGUGAUGAAAAUGAAACACAGCCCAGUUCAUUACCAUCUCCACAUAGUACGUUACGCCACAAUGUCGCCCUUAACUAGCAGUGGCUUCUGUGCUGCUUAAAACUCCCACUCCAUGAUAUACGAUGAUAAAGUCCCAUAAUUAGGCCAACAUCAAUGAUACGGGACCACUGCUCUUCCUCUCUUACCUGUGUUGUGUGAGUAGCAUGAGAAAAAUGGGCCCUUUUUAUGAAGUAAAUAAAACAAAAUCAUUCAAGUGCAGUUCAGCAUCGGUGUACACAAAGUGUUUCAUGUGGGGCUGAUAUGAUAAUUCGCCACAUCUUUCAACUUUCCGUGACAAUAUGUGGGUAUCUCUGUUCAGCUUUGAGACGAUGGAAUCGUAUGUUGGGAUUUUUUAAAAGAAAAAAAGCUGUACAAGACCGGAUUUCCAUUAGUCGAAACACAACAUUACAGGCCUGACAUAUUAGGCCGAUGAUGUUUAAGUGAAACAAGGGACAGCAUUACGGACAGCAAGAGUCUUGAAUGGCGUAUAAACAACAAAACCAAUGAUAGCGCGUGUGUGCGGCCGCGCUAUUAUCCGAGGGUAGUUGAUAUACAAUCAGCUAAUAACGACAGGGGAAGCGGGUGUCGAAAAAAAAGAAAAAUAUGGUCACCCUUUUUGUGAAGUGAGCAGCUGCACCUCGAAGCUAAAUAACAACAAUUUACCAUUGUGUACAUCAUCGACAAGCGAGAGAUAACACACUAGUUGGGUCGCUUCUUUCGUUGCGAGAUGAGAUGAUUCGAACCAUUUAUCUCGUUGAGCUAUUCUGCGGCUCUUCGUGUUACCGCGUGCCGACCAACAAAUCCAACCACGCGCUCCAAGCGCUAGAUGAACCAACGGUAGUCACUCGUGUGCUAUCUCAGAUCGUUUUCGAUGACCAUCCAUCUAUGAGCGACACUUUAUGAAUCCUUCCUGCGAUAACGAUGUUUUAUGGGGGUGGGGGGGGGGGGGGGGGUUUGCUGGCGAUAGGCGCCGUACACGUAUCGGGCAAGGUCUUGCCUGCCUAAAAACACUCAGGUUGAAGCGACUGGAGUUCGUUGAUUCGCUUUUCUUUGCUGUGACAUGAAUCGCAAAGUAUUGCGGAUAUGACGGAAAUGCUCACUUUGCAUGAUCAUUCAAUGUCCUGAGUUUGAGUUGUUGUUAUUUCAAUAUUUAAAGAGGUUUCGACCUCUUGGGUCUCUUUCGCCUCUGAACGAAUUGAGUUGAGAACUAUUUGAUUAUAUUGAAGAAGUGAGAUUCGGUUAAAUCUAAAUGAUGCACCAUAUAAAUUUCAUAAUUUCAAUAUAAAUUUCGAAGUGAUGUGUUUGCUUAUUGACUUGAACCCUCCAAUAUUUUCAUAAAUACAUUGAAACGGCUGAUCUGUUGGAGGAAACUUCUUCGAGUAACACAACUUCGUUGACGUGCGUCAACAAUACGGCAUAGUCGUAAAAUGCAAUUAAUUUAGUUAAUUAUUUAAUCAAAACAUUUUUCUGAUUUAUUUUCUAUUUCAACAGAAUGGAAAAAAAUCUUGAAUGUAUGACACCUGCCACAAAUUAGCAAAAAUCAUCAGUUUCAGGUUGAUAUGUACGUGCUCCGAAAGCUCAUUUCAUGGUUGGUAAAGCUUCCCAUAAAAGUUAUUUUUAACGCGCUUACUUCGAUGCCAGUCCUGCCGCACAUCGGAACACGCUCGAAGUAAACAUAAAAUCUACAGUCAAAUCAUAACCUUCGCCUUGCAGACGAACGCAAGUUACCGCUUGCUACAGUAAUUGGCAUUCAAACAGCCCAAUCGAUGUACGCCGCGUAAAAAAACAAUCAAUCAACGAAAAAAAAAUCUCGCAAAAACGUACAUUCUUUAUAAGCUACUUUUAAGUGUAACUUAAAUUCCUUCUCCCCGUUGUGUAACGUAUAUCCGAAUCUUCAACAGCAAAAACCACUUCAAACGGCUGGUAAAUGUAAAUUCUCUGCCUACCUUUCUCGUCUCGUUCCUUUGCAGUGAAACAAUUUACCACCAUCUAUUUGGUAAGGCAUUUCGCUACAUACAUGCAUCAUCCCGCCCGCUCUAGGCCCACCGAAGUGCUUUAAACAAUAGGACAAACUGUCUGUCUGUCUGUCGGCUUAUCCCGUCAUCGUUGUCUUGGUCAUUGUCCCCCAAAAACAGGAAGCAUCAAAUGUGUCCCUUGUCCUCCGUACGCACGACCGGCACGCAGAGACCGAGAAACGAAACCGAAAACCGUUUGAUGUUAAUGAAAACAGAAUGAAAUUAAUUUGCCCCAACAAGACGAUAUACCCGGUACGCAACACUUCAAAGAGCGCAGCAGCACCCGGAUGAGACCAGAUUCCUUUGAUAUUUUCACUUCAAAGAUGAACGCGCUCGGCCAAGUAUCAGGAUCGCACGAAGCUCGGGAGGAUGCACCGGCAUUUUAGUAGCAACAAACGAACCGGAACUCGAGUGAAGCCGGGGAAGAGCACAAGACUUUGACCGCUGCUGAGGAAUGGCUGUGUGCUUUGUUUGAAGUGCUCUCCAGAGAUCCACCCUCACUCAAUGACUGAAUGGGGACAUGGCUGUUACUACAGAAAGGGCGAGUGAAAUAUAGAUAAAAAGCGAAAGUUUCAUAGAAGAGAAAGAAAAAAAAACACAACAAGCAGUGUACAACAGUAACAACACUUAAACUUUUCAUCUGAUCCCCUGGCGCAUAGCGAAAUGUUGGAAAAGUCUUUUGUCCCAAAGAAACAAUAAUGGCGAAUGUUUGCCGGUUCGCCAGAAGAGGACAUCUUCCGGUUUUUUCUGUAGAUGUUAUUAUUCUAAGCACACACACAGCGGAUUAGUUGAGCAGCACCAUCCGCAGCUUUGUGACUGGGUCAAUAGCACGAGUCAAUGUUGCAACCAAACCACCUCCAUCGUAUUCGCGCUGGACGUGGCCAAUGGUGAUAAAUGCAAAUGACCCAGCUGUUGCAACUGCUGUUGCUGUUGGUACAGAACAUGUGGCGCCUUCUGGACUUUUGAGUUUUUGUUUCCAAUACACACAGUUAUGCCCGCGAUUGAUGAUGCACUGUAGCGCGCGUGGGGGUCGUGGAUAAUGAUUGCGGUCUGUCUGUAUAAAAUGCAACUGCUAAACACCCUCUGCGUAACACGAUAAUGAAGUUUUACGGGUUCUCCUGUGGUUCGUCAGAGGAACUGUCCUUUCCGUGAACAAGAUUUAUGAAAAAGUGAACUGCACAAGUGAAGCACUCGUCGUUUUAAGAUCAAUAGAAAAUCAUCAAACAUUCUCGACAUUAUGCGAUUCCAGAACAGGUCAAUUCUCGGUCUUAGGUUAAGAUGGAAUUAAUGAACUUUUUUAUUAGAUUUCGGCUACAUGAUGCAUGCGCGUCAUUAAAUUUGUGAGAAACAGGAAAAUAAAUUAAAAUUUUCUGUUAGCAAAA